This 458-nucleotide ribosomal RNA is filed under the name uncultured bacterium. Its description in RNAcentral is "partial 16S ribosomal RNA". It matches the Rfam family "Bacterial small subunit ribosomal RNA", at positions 338 to 795 of the family's 1533-position model. The record is from RNAcentral.
CCUACGGGAGGCAGCAGUGAGGAAUAUUGGUCAAUGGGCGAGAGCCUGAACCAGCCAAGUCGCGUGAGGGAGUACUGCCCUAUGGGUUGUAAACCUCUUUUGUCGGGGAGCAAAAGCCGGACGUGUCCGGCUGUGAGAGUACCCGAAGAAACAGCCUCGGCUAACUCCGUGACAGCAGCGGCGGUAAUAGGGGGGAUGAGAGCGUUAUCCGGAUUUAUUGGGUUUAAAGGGUGAGCAGGAGGAUUGUUAAGUCAGCGGUAAAAUCGUGGGCCUAAACCGCAUCCAGCCGUUGAAACUGGGGAUCUAGAGUGUGCGAGAGGUAUGCGGAAUGCGUGGUGUAGCGGUGAAAUGCAUAGAUAUCACGCAGAACCCCGAUGGCGAAGGCAGCAUACCGGUGCACAACUGACGCUCAGGCACGAAAGCGUGGGUAUCGAACAGGAUUAGAUACCCUUGUAGUC